This is a non-coding RNA of Dermacentor albipictus, 678 nucleotides long. The record is from RefSeq and is a predicted model, not a curated record. Lineage: Eukaryota; Metazoa; Arthropoda; Arachnida; Ixodida; Ixodidae.
UGGAGAUUUUGCCAUUGUCAAGUUUCCUGACGAAGGAGAUGCUGUUGCUGUAGUACGACGCAGCUGGAUACGUGGUGGAAUGUGUAUGUGGCCACAAAAGGCUAAAAAUGUGCAAGAGAUGGUGAAAAGCUGCACUGAGCCAGGUUCAGAAUGGAUUCAAACCACAUGUGUGGUUCUUGGUAUGUAUGAUAAUUAUAAAGAAGCAAGUAAUAAGCUCUCCAAAGCAGAGCUCACGUCAAACUUGGAUACAGACCCUGACGAGCCAAGGAGGAGGAAGAAAAAGCGGCAGUGCGAUAGCAGCUCAGAUGAGUCUGUUGAGCCAUACAGUCUUCCAACUCCACCAAAAACUCCCAGAAUGCCUUUUGCAGCCUGUGAACUGCUAAGUGGUAAAGCAGCCAAAGAAGCAACCUUUAGUGAAAAGAAGAAAGGGCCCACUCACCCAGAUUUCAGCAGCUACCGGCAGCAAGGCCUCUCCUCGUCACUGCACUGCUCCUGCUGGGACAUCGCGCCACAGCAGCCAGAAUAACGAGGUUGCUAAAGAAUCUACGCGAAGGAAGGACAUGACACCAGCACCAAAAUGUGACCAAAGUUAGUAUUGCAAGCUCAUUUGAUUUGAAUGCUAACAUAUUAGUUUUGGACUUAUUGCAUGUCCAAAGGUGGUAUUCUAUGGACAUCAAU